Molecule: non-coding RNA, 122 nt
Organism: Ciborinia camelliae
Lineage: Eukaryota; Fungi; Ascomycota; Leotiomycetes; Helotiales; Sclerotiniaceae
Source: the annotation of a GenBank genome assembly
GCGGCUUUAGCUCACUUGGGAGAGCGCCAGACUGAAGCCCAACUUCUGUUUCUUCAUUCACAUCUAUCUACUAGGGAGAAUUGAUUAUCUGGAGGCACUGUGUUCGAUCCACAGAAGCCGCA